Molecule: long non-coding RNA, 2319 nt
Filed under: Oncorhynchus kisutch (coho salmon)
Lineage: Eukaryota; Metazoa; Chordata; Actinopteri; Salmoniformes; Salmonidae
Description: lncRNA (ENSOKIG00005009524.1)
Source: RNAcentral
AUGUCCCAGUCUGGAAAAGUCAUUCAUCUGUAUGUGGAGGUGAGGUCAGCCCCAGAGCAGGAUGGGAAGGGGGGCUUGGGAGGAGGAGUGGAUGGGCUUGGGACUGGGAGUGACUCCGCCUCAGCACAGGAUCAGCCAGCGGGGCUUUUGUCCCAGCUAGCCUGCCAGACAAAAUGCCAAACUCCUAGCAAAGCUCCAAUACACCGCCUGGCCCAUAACUUCACCCACACCCAGUCUCCCUCCAGACACAAAGUGAGCUUCCAGCUCCACCAAGGUAAUGGCACCCAAUCGCCUAGCAUCUCCCAGCAACAGAGUUUACCAGCAGCACUGACCCACUCCCCAGCCUUUUCUGGGAUUGGGAAGACCACCACCCCACACAAAGAUCACCACCCCUCCAAAGGGCAGGGGGUGGGGGGCAAUGGCAAACGGUCGGUGGUCACCUUCAGCUACAUUGAGAAGGCUAACGUCAAGACAGUGGAGAGCCCACAGAACUCAGCCUGUCAGAGGAGGUGUGGGGAGGAGCUGUCGUCCCCACCUUCCCACCCCCGGAAUAAACUCAGCGAUCCCAUCUGGUUGGGUAGUCCUGGCUCCUCAUGCAGCUCCAGUCCCAAACUAGCGUUUCGUCCCCCAGGGGGUCACCAGCAGCAGCCGACAGGCUCCCCCAGCCUCCGCCACCCUGUCUUGGAUCCUGUCGGUAUUGCGGCCACCCAGCGUGCCCUGGAGGAGUUUGGGUUUGGUUCCCCCCUGUUCAGGAGUAAGAUCAUCCAUGGGCUGGAGCAGAGUCCCAGGGGCUCCCGCCACAACCAGCAGGCCCGCUGCCUGUCCUGGGCCGGCGGUUCUCCUGUCCAGCACCACAGCGCCUGCAAUAAUCUCCACAAUAAUCACGCUGUGGAUGCAGAUAGAAACCGGGCUAUUUGCGGGCCAUUACCCAGGAGCUCAGCCUCUGUCCAGCUUUCGUCCCAUGCUAGGCAGGGCACUCUGGGCAUGUCUCCUUACUCAAGACCCAGGUCGUGCAUGGGGCUCCAGGCCCAGAGCCCACACCACUGGGUAGGUCAGGACAAAGCUUUAGCAGGUAGUCCAGCCACACAGAGACAAGUGCACAAGCCCUGUAACAGUAGUUCCUCCUCUCAAGGGACCAUCCUCCAACUUAAAAAUAAACUAGGGGAGAGAACUGUACUGAAUCAGCUAAGUUGUAGCAAACCCUCCUCCCCAGCCAACAGCCCUGAAGUGGCCCGGAGGCUAGCCGAGGAGGCUACUAAAGUAUCCUCUAUUUUAGCAGAGGUAAAGAGGAACUCAUUGACAUUGCACAAUGCUUUAGACGAAGUAGAGAGACCCAACUCUGAAUGUAUGUCUGGAGAAGCUGACAGUUCUGUCUCAAAUGUACAACGGCAACAUUUGCAGCAUCAGACAGUUAAGAUGAAUAUCCCUUUACACGGCCAACACACACCAGCGUCGAACGACAUUGACUCUCACCGGGCUGGAAAUGUUUUAGCAUCGUCACGCACACAGGACUCAAACUCUCCAACAACAACCAAUCACGGGACACAGCAUGGAAGAGGGCAGGCUCAGAGCUCCAUUCUAUCAGACACAGUAGUGGGUGUAGGAGGGUCCCCUGCCCUGCCUUCACGCUUCAUCCGUCCAUCUCUUCCCCCAGCCGAGACCAGCUCCCCUCUGAAAGACCCCAGGCUGCUGAGAGCCCAGCUCAGAGUCACAGAAAGCCCAACACUGCAUCGCUGCCAGCCCCCUCAGUACACUAGAGAUUUCUGGUCCUUCGAGCCGGACGAGAGAGCCGACUUCUCCUGCUUUGAUACGGGGGAUAGUGCCGAGCUGGCCCGUAGGCUCUAUAUACGCCAAAGUGUGGUGGAAGCCCCUGUCAGCUGGACCUCCAGGCAGCCCUGGAGCCACCUGGUAGAGGAGGAGAGCAGAAACUCCAGUUCCAGCCCCAUACACGGACCUGGGCAGCAGCCCCUAAGCGUGGCCCAGCAGAAAAGAGCCGAGCAUAGGAGGAGGGAGGUUCUGCUGCUGGGCCCUGUGGUGCUGGACUCGCCAGAGGAGGAUGAGGGCCUGAAUGGGGAUGGGGAAGAGGUUCACAGACCAGGGCAACAGCGAGGCCUGCUGAGGGUUGAGGAGCCUCCAGAGGGGGAGCAAAUCAGGGUAGCAGGAUCCUCAUCACGCAGCUCCAGCGGGGUGACCGGUAGCCUGGGGGAAAGGGACUGUGUGUCCCCAGAGUCCAGUCAGUCCAGUCACCAGAGCAACGACACAGGGGCUGCCACCUCAGGGAUACAGGUGAGACAUUAUUCUUCAAAUAUGUUGCAUUGA